GGCGAGGUAGCUCAAUCGGCAGAGCAGGGGACUCAUAAGCCCUUGGUUGGGAGUUCAAAUCUCCCCCUCGCCACCU
This 76-nucleotide transfer RNA is filed under the name Chloroflexota bacterium. RNAcentral describes it as "Chloroflexi bacterium (marine metagenome) tRNA-Met". It matches the Rfam family "tRNA". From Rfam's summary of the family: Transfer RNA (tRNA) molecules are approximately 80 nucleotides in length. Their secondary structure includes four short double-helical elements and three loops (D, anti-codon, and T loops). Lineage: Bacteria; Bacillati; Chloroflexota. The record is from RNAcentral.